UUUGUAGGUUAUCGUUUGAUUCAGAUUCGUGAAAAUGGCGACAAAAAGAAGCGUUGGAACAUUGAAAGAAGCUGAAUUGAAAGGAAAGAGGGUUUUCGUUAGGGUUGAUCUAAAUGUUCCUUUGGAUGAUAACUUGAAUAUCACUGAUGAUACUAGAAUCCGUGCCGCUGUUCCUACUAUUAAAUACUUGACUGGUUAUGGCGCUAAAGUUAUCCUUUCCAGUCAUCUGGUAUAAUAUCUGUCUCUAUCCGAUCCGUUUUGCGCGUUUUUGGUUUUAGAUUGUGUUAAUUUGCUGUAACAAUCCACUGAGAUAUUUUAACCAUGAGAUAAUGAUAUCUAUGGUUUUUGUUUUGAUUUAAUUUAAUUCUGUAUUUGUGGUGUGAGAUCUAUAAAACAUAUCAAUUUAAAGGUUUAUUAGUAUAAUUGUUAUGGGAUUGCCAUUUUAGUUUUGAUUUUUACUUAUUUGAUUUUUGAAGGUAUAGAUGUGAGAUAAAGAAACUAAGGAGCCCUUUGGACUGGCUUAUAUUUGAUCUUAUGAAAAUUAGCUUAUGAAUAAUAUAUAAAAGCUUAUUUAUUUGCAUAAGCUGUUUUGCAUAAGCUCAAAAAGCCAAUCCAAACUGGUCUUAAGUGUGAUAUUAGGGACCAGUGAGUAGAGCCGUAUAAAAUGGCCGGGCUGGCCCAUGGCCCAGACAGAUCGGGCCGGUCUCUCGAAUACAUGCUCAAUUUCAAAUGGGCUGGACCCGGCCUAGCCCAUUUAUGUAGUUGGGCCUCUCGGGCCUGACCGGGCACCUCUACUAGUGAGUGGUUGUAGUAACUUGAAGUUUGUUCAAUAUGAGUAUUGUAAGCGGUAGAGUUACUUGCUGCUAUGAUCCACUGAUAUUUGAUAUUUGACAUUUGUUGUCCAAAAAGAAUAAUAAUAGUAACCGUGUAAGCAAUGUCAUAUAUGUAUUUGUGGAUUAAGUGACUGAUUUUGAUAUCCUGGUUGUUGUGAAAUGUUUUUUGUUUGUUUGUUUGUUUUACUUUGCUGUGAUUUAUUAAUAUAGUAUUUGAAUGAGAUUUGUAAAAAAUAUCAAUCUGAAGAUAUAUUAUAUGGUUAUGGGGUUGCCAUUUUAGUUUUGUAUGUUUUGAUUUUCUGAUGAAGAGUUUGAGAAACUACGAGUGUUAGAGAAGUGUGAUAUAGUGGACUAUUGAGUGAUGGUAGUAACUUGAAGUUUUUUCUUGAAUCUUGUUUUCAGGGACGUCCAAAGGGUGUAACACCUAAGUACAGUUUGAAGCCUCUUGUGCCAAGGUUGUCUGAACUUCUUGGAACUCAGGUGUGUCUACUAAACUUUUCUGUUUUAGUUUGGCAUUACGUUCAAUCAUUCUUAUUUGAUUGUUUCCUUUGUGUAAUAAGUUAAUAAUCCUGUUGAUUUCACUUGAUUAUAGGUUAAGAUUGCUGAUGACAGUAUUGGUGAGGAAGUUGAGAAGUUGGUUGCACAAAUUCCAGAAGGUGGUGUUUUGCUUCUAGAGAAUGUGAGGUUCCACAAGGAAGAAGAGAAGAAUGAUCCUGAAUUCGCAAAGAAGUUGGCUUCCCUUGCUGAUCUUUACGUGAAUGAUGCUUUUGGCACUGCCCAUAGAGCUCAUGCUUCUACAGAAGGUGUCGCUAAAUACUUGAAGCCCUCUGUUGCAGGAUUCCUUAUGCAGAAGGUAUGUAGGGAGUAAUUGCAAUUUCGUUAUAUAAUUGGCAGUGUUGUUAAAUAGCGACUAUAGCGGUGUUAUAGUUUAGCGGAAUUAAAAAAUUAUUGCUAAUUGUUCUGGGAUAUGAUAUUUCGUACAAAAUAAUGUCUAAUAGCGGCUAUAGCAAUGCUGUGGCACGUAAUUUGAACAGACCGUGAUCUGCGAAUGACAACACUGAUAUAUUUGUUGAUUAAUGUAGUUGAUUGAUCUGUUGUAAUGUUCAAUUGUUUCAGGAGCUUGACUAUCUCGUUGGAGCCGUGUCUAACCCCAAGAAACCAUUUGCUGCUAUUGUUGGUGGUUCAAAGGUGUCUUCCAAGAUUGGAGUUAUUGAAUCCUUGUUGGAGAAAGUUGACAUUCUCUUGCUUGGUGGAGGUAUGAUUUUUACCUUUUACAAGGCUCAGGGUUAUGCCGUUGGGUCCUCUCUUGUGGAGGAAGACAAGCUCGAUCUUGCAACUACACUUAUUGAAAAAGCCAAGGCGAAAGGAGUUUCCCUUUUGCUUCCAACUGAUGUGGUCAUCGCUGACAAGUUUGCUGCUGAUGCUAAUGACAAGGUAUUAUGUUUUUCGUGUGAGUUGGGUUUAGCAUUACAACACUUUUCUUUCAUUGUGAGAACUCUCUUGAAACAAAAGUUCAAUUGAGGACAGGGGUACAAUAAUGUGUUUGCAACCAUGUAAAACAUAUGGAUUGGGAAUUUUAUGGAUGCUCUGCUAUGUUGUCAAAUUGCGGCUAUUGUGGAAUGUGUAGUUAUCACUAUUGUUCCAUGAUAUGUUAUUUAGUACAAAGUGUUGUCCAACAGUGGCUAUUGCAGCACUAUAGUCUUAUAGUGUUUCAGGGUAGCUGAAUUUGAUUAAACCUCAAUUUUCCACGAUCCACGAUUAACAACAUUGAUGCUCUUACAAUUUUACCAUUUAGGAAAUCCUACUUGCAAUGACUAUUACCCUAGCUGUACAAUCAUAUUUUCAUAAUAGUGUUUAGAAUGUUGAUACAUAUACUUAAGCUUUGUUUAUUUGUGCUCAGAUUGUGCCAGCAUCAAGCAUCCCUGAUGGAUGGAUGGGAUUGGAUAUUGGACCUGAUUCCAUCAAAACCUUCAAUGAAGCAUUGGACAAGAGUCAGACCAUCAUAUGGAAUGGACCAAUGGGUGUUUUUGAGUUUGAUAAGUUUGCAGCAGGAACAGAGGUAUGUAUGAAUGAUUUGGAUUUUUUGACAGGGAAAUACAUGAAUUGGUCCUUUGACAAUUUAAAUAAUCCUGCAGAAACCAUGUUUUAGGAAACAACUGAAAUAUUGAAAAACCCGUAAUGAAUUGGUGAACCCAUGAAUUGGUCCUUUGAUUUUCUUUUUAUUUACACAUGCAAACACACCCACCGCCCAACUCCCACCCACACACAUAUGUAAGGAGUGACUUUGGUAAGAUCAUUCGGUUAUUAUGAGAUAACUAAGACGAGACAUUAAAGAUAAAACCUUGGAACUAUUUUUUUUAAUUGAUUGGUUCAAUUGGCAUGUACUUCUGUUUAAGUUCUUUUUAUUGUUUUGAUGUUGUAAUUGAUGAUUAUUCUCUUUUAUUUUCUGUGCAGGCCAUUGCCAAGAAAUUGGCAGAGGUAAGUGGCAAGGGAGUAACAACCAUCAUUGGAGGUGGCGACUCUGUAGCAGCUGUUGAGAAGGUUGGACUAGCAGACAAGAUGAGUCACAUAUCUACAGGUGGAGGUGCCAGCUUAGAGCUUCUUGAGGGGAAGCCACUCCCCGGAGUCCUUGCUCUUGAUGAUGCUUAAACACUUUGUAUUUUGUGCAUUAUAAUGGUUGGGUUUCAACCAAUGUUGGAUUGAGGUUACGCUAGAGCUGCUCUUGUAGAGGCUUAAUAUAGGGUAGAUUCCAAAAUAAAAAAGGUUUUUGCGGCAUUUAUGGUGCUUGAUCAAAUUGUUCCUGAACAAUUUCAUUUUGAAAGGAGUUUGCUUAUUUAGCUUUUGCUUCUAAUUUUAGUUAGUGUGGUAUUGUAUGCAUUUUGAUUUAAUGUGAUCCUAAAGGGUUGGUUUAAGAAUGGCUGCAUUUUUCAGCUGCAAAUUUUCAAUACAGUAACCAAUAACCAUACUGGUUCUGUUGCAAUCAUUUGACAUUGAGAUUGUUUCCAGGGAACAAAUCAACAUGAUUGCGUUUGCAUAAUCAUCCUACGUCCAACAACUAUAGUAGUUUUUAAAUUUUACAAGUGAAACACAAUUGCAUUAAGAAACAGAGGUAGCAAUUACAGUAGAAUAGUUUGAGUGUUAGACUGAGUUGUCCCAACCCCCAACCAUGUUCUACUACCAGUACCGGCCAGUAUUGACAAUUUAACUAAACUAUGAGCUACAACAUAUAAAUCACGUUUAACAAACACAACACUUGAGCUUUGAAGUUCUAAAACCAUCUCUUUGAAAUCAAUGGCAGCCACAGGAGAUUUUGAGUUGAUCCAGUUAUCAACAACAUCAGCGUCAAAGAAAGUAGUUACUUUUUGCCAACCUGCAAUCUCCAUCUAUAGUUCCCAGCGCUUCUGCAAUAGCUUCAAUAGGAUCAGUUUCUGUGCAUUCUCUCUUCAAUCGCUUUAAGUUCAUUACAAAGUUGAUGUUCUCAAUUUAAGUUCGUUACAAAGUUAAAAAAGUUAAAAAAGUGUUAUAUACGCUCAUUUGAUUAUAUACGCUCUAUAUGCAUGCAGUGUGUUUGUUUGUCCCACUAAUUUUAUCAUCCAUACUAUGAGUUGAAGAUUCUUGAUAGUCAAAAAGAUUGUCAUGUGGUAGUAAUUGCAGUUGCAUAUACUCCUAUGCUUUGAUAUUGAGGUUGCAUUUGUCAAUUGCAAACCUUGAUCCCUUUCGUCCAACUUAAAAGCAUGCAAUGAAUACAACUUCAAAUGUAUUCCUAUUGACAAUAGUCAUCGAGAUUGGACAGCAGCGAAGCCAGAGAAAUUUUUACAAUGGGUCAAAUAUAAUGAAUUUUUUUUAGGCAAAGAAAAUUAUCUUUUUAAAAUAUUAUAUAUACAUUAAACUUUAAAAGUUAAAUAUAUUUAAUCUCUAUAAAAUUAGGCUUCGAGAACACUACCAAAAUAAAAAAAUCUAGAUUUUGAGAAGUCAAAUAUAUUCUUAAUUGAAUACUUACCUAAUUAGACUAACAAUUUUUCUUUUUCCAACGUUGACAAAUACGCUAUUUGAAUUAAACUAUCAUCCAUUAUGUUCGACUAUUGAUAAGUUUUUCCGCUAAAAAAUGUUCUUUUUAUAGGUGUCGUAGAGACCAAAAUGUCAAAAUAAAACAACCAAGUUUAUUAAUCAAUUAAUAAUUUUUUAACCUUCUAAUUUAUGCUGAAUUUAUAAGUUUGUUAAAGAUAUUUUUUUUUUUUGAAGAGACUAAAAUGGAAUAUAUUACCAAAUUAAAGUGUCCUUUCUAGUGCAAUGUGUACUAAGGAAGAAACAACAAAGUCCAAACAAUAUUUACAAGAGAAUCUGAUCAAUAAUAUAAAACAAGAACAUAAAUAACUAUUAGCCUAUGCCCAGUACGGUGAACAGAUUAAGCCACCAACCAUGAAGAUUGAAGGGAAGAGUAGCAAAUUUCGCCUUUAACCACGUAAAAGCGAGCGACUUAAUCUUAUCAACCACCUGAAUUACCAAGCAUGUUUUGUCUGUAAAUAAUCUGUUAUUUCUUUCUUUCCAGAUUUCUCAGAUGGUAGAAAACCAUAUAACCUGUAAAAUUGACCGACGAACUUUUGUUGGACCACCACUAUAACUGAAUUGAAUAGAAUGAUCCAGCAUAUACUGAGGGACAACCGCAGAAAUGCCCAACCAUCUAUAAAUUAAAUGGCAGACAAACCCAAAAAAAUUACAAUGUAAUAACAAGUGAGCGGACAUUCAACCGAACUGCACCCUGUCACACACCCCAUGGAAUUAUGGUUAAGAACAUCGCGACGAAAAAGAUUGUCCUUAGUAGGCAACCUAUCUCGAAACAACCACCAAGCAAGCAACGCAACUUUCAAAGGAACAUCCUUAUGCCAGAGAGAUGAAACGGGCACCGAUGUAGCAAUAGGAGGUUGCACGUUAAAAAAUUGUAGACACUACAAACAAAAAAUGAUUGAGAAGUUUCCAAUGUCCAUAGCCAUCUAUCAUCCUUAAUAACCUGCAAAGUAGCAGUAUGAAGCGGUAACAUAAGUUCCCCCACCAACUCCUCCUCCCACGCAAACAACCUCCACGCCCCUCCCCCCUCCCUCAAAGAUAGUUAAAAAUAUAUUAUUGGGUAGCUAGUUAUAAAAAUAUACUUAGUAAUUCAAUAGAAAUAAAAUUUUUAGAGUAGCCAAAGCUACCCCAUCAUAUCAAAUGGAUUCACACCCUUGUUCAAAAAUAUAUCAAAAGGAUUCACCUUUGAUUGUCUGAUUAGACUUGGUCAAUUUGCGAUUUACAUAAUUUAUGUAGGGUUAAAUGUGUUUUUGGUUCUUAUAUAUAUAUAUAUAUAUAUAUAUAUAUAUAUAUAUCAACUUUUUCAUAUUUGUUCCUUUAAAAAUUUUCUUCAACUUUUUAGUCAGAGUUUUCCAUCUUCACUCUUCAACUUUUUGGUCAGAGUUUUCUUCAACUCUUGUGUAAUUUUUUAAUGGUGUUUUACCCUUUUUUUUUUACAGAGAGUAAAUAAAAAAAAAUAUUUUACAGGGGAAAACAAAAAAUGACCUGUAUUAAGGGAUAAAACAUCAUUAACCAUUUUUUUUACAAUAUAAUGAGAAUCUUUAAAACAAAAAUCAGAAUUUUUUAACAUAAUAUUUUACUGUUUAUUCAUAUUCGUGAAAAUGGCGACAAAAAGAAGCGUGGGAACAUUGAAGGAAGGUGAAUUGAAAGGAAAGAGGGUUUUCGUUAGGGUUGAUCUAAACGUUCCUUUGGAUGAUAAUUUGAAUAUCACUGAUGAUACUAGAAUCCGUGCUGCUGUUCCUACUAUCAAAUACUUGACUGGUUAUGGCGCUAAAGUCAUCCUUUCCAGUCACCUGGUAUAACAUCUGUCUCUAUCCGAUCCGUUUCGCGUGUUUUUGGUUUUAGAUUGUGUUAAUUUGCUGUAAUAAUAUAUAAAAGCUUAUUUAUUUGCAUAAGCUGUCUUGCAUAAUCUCAACAAGCCAAUCCAAAUGGGUCCUAAGUGUGAUAACACGGCUACUCUUUUAAGUAUUUAUAUUUCUUAUUCUUUUAUUAUUCUUUUUUUAAAGGAAAUAUAUAAGACAGAAGUAUCGGUG
RNAcentral lists this long non-coding RNA (6931 nucleotides) under Medicago truncatula (barrel medic). RNAcentral describes it as "long non-coding RNA (MTRU_LNC008612)". Lineage: Eukaryota; Viridiplantae; Streptophyta; Magnoliopsida; Fabales; Fabaceae. The record is from RNAcentral.